GACGAACGCUGGCGGCGUGCUUAACACAUGCAAGUCGAACGGAAAGGCCCUGCUUGCAGGGUACUCGAGUGGCGAACGGGUGAGUAACACGUGGGUGAUCUGCCCUGCACUUCGGGAUAAGCGUGGGAAACUGGGUCUAAUACCGGAUAGGACCGCACUUUAGUGUGUGUGGUGGAAAGUUUUUUCGGUGUAGGAUGAGCUCGCGGCCUAUCAGCUUGUUGGUGGGGUAAUGGCCUACCAAGGCGGCGACGGGUAGCCGGCCUGAGAGGGUGUACGGCCACAUUGGGACUGAGAUACGGCCCCGACUCCUACGGGAGGCAGCAGUGGGGAAUAUUGCACAAUGGGCGCAAGCCUGAUGCAGCGACGCCGCGUGGGGGAUGAAGGCCUUCGGGUUGUAAACUCCUUUCGCUAGGGACGAAGCUUUUUGUGACGGUACCUAGAUAAGAAGCACCGGCUAACUACGUG
Molecule: ribosomal RNA, 465 nt
Filed under: uncultured bacterium
Lineage: Bacteria
Description: partial 16S ribosomal RNA
Rfam family: Bacterial small subunit ribosomal RNA
Source: RNAcentral